UUGUGAAUACUACUAUAUAGACAAGCUUACUGAGCAAGAAAGUGGAAACAGAGCCUAAUAUAUGUAAAAACUACCGCUGUUUAACAGAAACGAAAUAUUUCACGAUGUCAUCGAUGGAGAAAGAAUGAAAACUUGAUGGUUCAUCUUUGCCAGUAAAUAUUUCUUUUAUAUUUCAACUUUUCAAUAAAAUCAUUUUAUCACUAGAAUGGUGAUAAAAUUAUUGUUCCCUAUUUUUGUUU
This 239-nucleotide long non-coding RNA is filed under the name Limulus polyphemus (Atlantic horseshoe crab). RNAcentral's name for it is "uncharacterized LOC106475263, transcript variant X3". The record is from RNAcentral. Lineage: Eukaryota; Metazoa; Arthropoda; Merostomata; Xiphosura; Limulidae.